UCCUCUCCUCUACCUAUGGCAACUGGAAACUAGAAGAACUAUGUCUUCCAAUUCCAUUCUGAAGUAGUUGAUAAUUCUGUAUCAAAUUCUUAAUACGAUGACUUUAGCACCCGAACUCUCAUAACCAUAAGAUGCAACUAGCACUAGUGAUUCUCUUUCUUCUACUUUUGGAUUAAGAUCUUUCUUCCCUUUCCAUUGAUCGGCGAGGAAAGCAGUAAUUGAACUUGCCCCCAAACUCCACUUGCAGAACUGCUUGCUUACUUAAUUGAAUUAAUCUCUCUCUCGUCCGGUUUAUCUUAUGACUAUAGGAGUUAUCAAAGUUUGAAGUAAGUAUUAAUAGAGUAGAAUCCGCUAGCAAUUAUUAUAAGGGCCUUUUCUUAUUUCUCUUAUGACUAAUAAAGUUGGAAGUCACUUCUAGACUAGCACCUGACUAGGGAAAGCACCCUUCUGGAUUUCUUUCUAGUGAGGUGCACCACUAAAUGAUAUCUUCUCUUUAUAUAGGGAGUUUCGAAUUCUAUACAGGUUUUCUUACUUGACACCGGAGGGGCAUAAUAGAAUAAGUAACACAGGGCUCGGCUCUUUCUUGCGCCUGUAUUCUGCCUUUUUAGUUCAAUUCUGUUCCUCUUUCUCUAGAACACCAACGCACACAGGGCUCUGCCCCGACCCGACCUAUCUACCACUACUAAGAAGAAU
Molecule: long non-coding RNA, 693 nt
Filed under: Musa acuminata (dwarf banana)
Lineage: Eukaryota; Viridiplantae; Streptophyta; Magnoliopsida; Zingiberales; Musaceae
Description: long non-coding RNA (MACU_LNC008857)
Source: RNAcentral